This 230-nucleotide long non-coding RNA is filed under the name Olea europaea (common olive). RNAcentral's name for it is "long non-coding RNA (OEUR_LNC009866)". The record is from RNAcentral. Lineage: Eukaryota; Viridiplantae; Streptophyta; Magnoliopsida; Lamiales; Oleaceae.
GGAGUCACGGUUAGGGAUGAAAUGUUAGGAGGCAACCCAAACCUGUUCGAAUUUGAGAGGUAUUGCCAUGCCUUGAUUGAUUUGUGGGAUGAUGUAAUCCAUGAGGAGUCUGAAGAGGAACCUUUAGCUGAGGAAGAAGAACCCGAGGAUGAUUUAGAGAAUGAUCCUGAGCCUGAGCCACAGGUUGAGAUGGACAUAGAGUCCGGACCUGAGGCGGAAGACUCCUCUGA